UGGUUCUGGCAUCGAUGAAGAACGCAGCGAAAUGCGAUAAGUAAUGUGAAUGCAGAAUUUCAGUGAAUCAUCGAAUCUUGAACGCACAUUGCGCCCCUUGGUAUCCGGNGGGCAUGCCUGUUCGAGCGUCAUUACAACCCUCAAGCCUGGCUUGGUAUUGGGCUUCGCCACUAACCUGGCGGGCCUUANAAUCAGUGGCGGUGCCUCCGAGGCCCUGAGCGCAGUAAAUAUCCUCGCUAUAGGGACCCGGUGGUUACUGGCCAGCAACCCCAACUUUCUAAGUUUGACCUCGGAUCAGGUAGGGAUACCCGCUGAACUUAAGCAUAUCAAUAAGCGGAGGAAAAGAAACCAACAGGGAUUGCCUCAGUAACGGCGAGUGAAGCGGCAACAGCUCAAAUUUGAAAUCUGGCUCUUUCAGGGUCCGAGUUGUAAUUUGUAGAAGAUGCUUUGGGUGUGGCUCCGGUCUAAGUUCCUUGGAACAGGACGUCAUAGAGGGUGAGAAUCCCGUAUGUGACUGGCCGCCUUCGCCCGUGUAAAGCUCUUUCGACGAGUCGAGUUGUUUGGGAAUGCAGCUCAAAAUGGGUGGUAAAUUUCAUCUAAAGCUAAAUAUUGGCCAGAGACCGAUAGCGCACAAGUAGAGUGAUCGAAAGAUGAAAAGCACUUUGGAAAGAGAGUUAAACAGUACGUGAAAUUGUUGAAAGGGAAGCGCUUGCAACCAGACUUGCGCGCAGUUAAUCAUCUGGUGUUCUCACUGGUGCACUUUUCUGCGUUCAGGCCAGCAUCGGUUCAGGUGGUGGGAUAAAGGCCUUGGGAAUGUAGCUUCUUUCGGGGAGUGUUAUAGCCCUCGGUGCAAUGCCGCCUAUAGGACCGAGGACCGCGCUUCGGCUAGGAUGCUGGCGUAAUGGUUGUAAGCGACCCGUCUUGAAACACGGACCAAGGAGUCUAACAUCUAUGCGAGUGUUUGGGUGUCAAACCCAUACGCGUAAUGAAAGUGAACGGAGGUGAGAACCCUUAAGGGUGCAUCAUCGACCGAUCCUGAUGUCUUCGGAUGGAUUUGAGUAAGAGCAUAGCUGUUGGGACCCGAAGAUGGUGAACUAUGCCUNGAUAGGGGUGAGCCAGAGGAAACUCUGGUGGAGGCUCGCAGCGGGUCUGACGUGCAA
Molecule: ribosomal RNA, 1160 nt
Filed under: ericoid mycorrhizal sp. PPO-6
Lineage: Eukaryota; Fungi; Ascomycota; Leotiomycetes; Helotiales
Description: eukaryotic LSU rRNA
Rfam family: Eukaryotic large subunit ribosomal RNA (bases 285-1160)
Source: RNAcentral